UAUAUAUAUAUAUAUAUAUAUAUAUUUUACAAAUAUUAAUUCAUAGAAUCACAAUUGAUUUUUCUUAUAUUUCCAUAGUAGUAGAUAGUGGUUUCUUGUUUGGUGGAUUGGGUUUAAAUUCACUGAAUUUGGAAUUCGAGAUCUUCAAAAUUAAAAUGACUCUAAGCAAUUCAACUUUAGGUCGUUGCUAGUUUCUUUUGUUUACAAAUAUAAAUAUCAUUACCAUUUUCUGCAUGGUGGUUUAGUAAUAAUAUCAUUAUGCUUAAAUUAUAAGGAAUCCAAUUUGAUUCCACCAUAGGUUUCUAGAGAUGCAAAGGACUGUUUUUAUCUCAACUGGGGCUAUUGACAUAAGAAGUUGCUGAUGUUUCUACUGACUUAUGGGUUUUGUUCCUAGGAUAGCCAACAUGGUGGCUUAUGAUUUAACUAAUUUCUCCAACAUUGAUGAUGAUAUUGGGACACUUUGGACUGAAGAAAUGCCUGAUUCUAUACGGCCUUUCAUUUUAUCUGAUGUUUCUUCCUUUUCUGGAUGAAUGAAAUUUCAGUUUUUAUUUUCUCCAAAAGUAGUAACCAUGUUUAUGGCUUUGGUUGUUAAAACAUAUGCCGCUAUUUGAAUUUUCUCACAGGGUCUUGGCUUCUUGACUAUUUCUUCUUUCAGUGCUUCUAAUUGCCCAAGCAUCAAUACUUCGACAUCUUCUUGUUCUCCUAGCCAAUUUCAAGUAGUUUUCUUUUUCUUUUCCCUAUAUUUGGUAGCUUUUGGGCAAGGUGGGUACAAACCUUGUGUUCAGGCUUUUGGAGCAGAUCAAUUUGAUGAAAGAGACCCUAUGGAAAGCAUAGCCAAAAGCUCUUUCUUCAAUUGGUGGUUUUUUUCUAUGUGUUCAGGCAUCUUAGUAGCGCGAUUGAUCUUAAUCUACAUACAAGACAACCUUAAUUGGACCUUUGGUUUUGGAAUCCCAUGUAUUGUGAUGGUCAUCGCACUAUUUAUCUUCUUGCUUGGAAGUAAGACGUAUCGCUAUAGUAUCAAGGUGGAAGAAAAAAGUGCAUUUCAAAGAAUUGGACAGGUUUUUGUUGCAACCAUUAGAAAUUGGUGCUCUUCUUCUUCAAUAAUAUCUUUGGAGGAAGAAGUUUGUCAAUCGCUACCUCAUCAUAGUUCUAAUCAAUUCAAGUAAGUAGAAUAAGCUUCUGCACUUGAAAUUAUAAGUUCAAGAGAACACAAAUGCAUCAACAUGUCUAGAAAUUAAUGCACAUGUUUUUGGAAUGAACAUUUAUUGUUCAAGUAACCCUGAGCUUUAUAGUAUCUUCCUUCGUUAUAUUUAUAAUUAGUGACCCCCUAAUAGUAGUUAUAUUGAUUUCUAGAACUUACAGGAUGUGUGUUUCUAGUAACUAACAAUUCUGCACUUUUCUUGUUUGAUGAUACGGAUUUGAGGAUUUGUUAAAGACUCGUUCUGAGCAGCAGUCUUUGUGCAUGGCUCCUAGAUGCUUUAUUUCCUUUAAGAGAUUUUCAUUCAGCCACUCAAUUGUAAAGUAAAUACUAGAUUGUGGUAUUGAAACAACACUUAGAUCUCGGAACAAAAUGACGUGUGUAUCUCAAAAAUUUUCUACCAAUAGGGAACUCUGAAGCUCCUGAACAAUUAGAAAAUUUUAGCUGCAUCAAAACUCAUUCUAAAAUAGCAAAUUGGUUCUGAUAUGCCAGGUUCCUUGACAAAGCCCUGUUUGAGUGUAGCCUUAAUGAAGUUGAAGAAGCUAAAGCACUAUUUAGACUUAUUCCCAUAUGGGCUUCAUGCUUGUUAUUUGGUGUUGUGGAUGCACAGUUCUCAACUUUAGUUACUAAGCAAGGAGCAACUAUGGAGAGAUCAAUUUCCCCAGGUUUCGAUAUACCACCUGCUUCACUUCAAUCUCUUCCCACCCUCACUAUUAUUUUAUUCAUUCCAAUCUAUGACCGCAUCAUUAUUCCCAGAGCAAGGAAUUUAACCAAAAAUCCUUCUGGCAUUACAAUGCUUCAGAGGAUCGGAACUGGGAUGUUUUUCUCUGCCCUGUGUAUGGCAAUUGCUGCUGUAGUUGAGAUGAAGAGGCUCAAAGUCGCUCGAGAAUUCGGACUAGUUGAUAAGCCAAAUGUGACCGUUCCAAUGAGCAUUUGGUGGCUGAUUCCUCAGUACGUCGUGGAUGGAGUUGCUGAUGUAUUGACCUCAGUUGGUAUGCAAGAAUUCUUCUAUGACCAGGUCCCCAGAGAAUUAAGAAGCGUGGGUCUUUCUCUCUAUAUCAGCACCUUCGGUGUAGGAAGCUUUAUUAGCAGUUUUCUCAUUUCUAUCAUUGAGAGACUCACUGGAGGAGAAGGCCGUGAUAGUUGGUUUACUAAUAAUCUGAAUCGAGCUCAUCUUGAUUACUUCUAUUGGCUAUUAGCUGGACUAAGCACUGUCCAAUUUGUAGUUUACUUGUAUUUUGCAAAAAAAUAUGUAUAUAAAAGGUGAGGUAAAAAUCAUAUAUUUCGAGAGAUAUAUCCAGAUAAAUGUGUACAUAUAAUAUUGUUGUUAUAUAAAUGGAAAUUGUUGCCUACCUGUAAAAUUUCAUUUUAUCCCAAUUUUGAUGCAUGACUGCAAUCUUGGAAACUCACAAUCAAUUUUUUUCAGAUAUAUUCUGCUUUAAUUGGAGUUUGAAUUUAAAACCUCUCCAUUUAUCGAGAGUUUCAGUAUUAUAUAUUUAAAGACAAAUUGAUAACUCAUAUUCUAUUUUUCUCUGUUCAGAUUGCGUGUUACAAUUCAUUUUGCUAGAGAUCUUAUAGUUUUUAGUUUUAUUUUAUUUAUAAAACGGUUGUCUACAUUUAGAAAUCUAUUUAUAGCCAAAAAGAGAAAAUAGUCUUGGAUCAUAUAAAUAUAAUGGCUGUAAUUAAUUUUAAAAAAUAUCAAAUAAAUAUUCAGUAACCGGUCCUGGAUUGUCUAGUUAAGGCUUAGAGCUAAAGCAAUCAAAAUUCAUCUGCCGAUGAUUUAGAAGCAAAUCACCAAUUUUUCAAGUUAGGGUUUGAAUUCCAAAAUUUUAAUUUGUGAAAAUUACACUACAUUUAAUACGAAUAAAUUAAUUGGUAAUUAAUAGAUCUUAAUUAAUUUAUUGUCAUCUUUUUAUUAAAAAGUGUGAACAAAUUGAGUUAAAUUAAAUUUUAAAGAGUUUAUAUUUAAUUUAUUAAAAAAAUUUUAAAUUUAAAUUAAAUUUAAAUUUUAUUAUUUUAAAUUUAAAUUAAAUAUUAAUAAUUUUAAAUUUAAUUCGUUUAGUAAAUAAGUUAAUAAAUUUUGAUGGAGUCUAAUCUUAAAUAGCUUUUCUGAUUUUUUGGUCUGUCGAGAUCUUAUAGGUGAUGGGAAAGGUUUAUCUUUAAGAAUAUCCUUUACCCACUUAGGUUUUGGAUCAUCUAUAGUGAGCACCUCCUCGUCAUUAUCUGAAUAAUUGUGGAGCACCUACACUCUUCAUCAAAAUAAUUUUUUAAAUUAUAUCUCUAAAAUAUUUUUAACAAUAUAUUUAACUUAGUUGAAUAAACAAAAUUUUAUAAUAUAAUUCUGAAAGUAUAAAAUAGCAAAUGAAAUAUUAUAUUUCUUCAACGUUUUAAUUAUUUAUAAUUAUAAUAAAUUUUACUUUAAAAUUAUUAAAUUUAACCAUUUUAAAAAAAUUAAUAAGUUUAAAAUUAAAUAAUUUUAAUUAAAUAUAUAUAUAUAUAUAUAUAUAUAUAUAUAUAUAUAUAUAUAAAUUAACUUUUAAAUUUAUAAAAAAUAAAUUUUGUAUAUAUAAUAUUGUCUUUGUUGCCAACUUAUAAAAUUUUGAGUUUAUCUCUAUUAAAUUUCUUUUCUCCAAAUUAUCAAGAGAUGAGAGAAUGGUAUGGUUGCUUUAUCUUUUAAUCGGAAGUAGGGUCGUGCGGGAAGCCAAUUCAUCGACAGUAUCGAAAUCGAAUCGAUGGCGAUUUCGAUAAAGAAUUGAUGGGUUAGAAUUAAAUCAUAUUAAAUUAAAUUUAUUUAAAUAUUUAAUUUUAAUUUUUAUUAAGACCGUAUCAAAAUUGAACUAGAAUAGCACGGAAUUCAUACUAAACAAAAAUUGUAUCAAUAUAUAUAUAUAUAUAUUUAAAUAAUUUAUAGUGAUAUUAUAAUUUUAAUAUAUUUUAUGUAUUCUAUAAUUUUAAUAAAAUUAUAUAUAUAAAAUUAUAAAUAACAUUAGUAUUAUGUUUGAAAUAUUUAAUUAUUUCAUUUAUCUUUAAAUUUAAUUAUAAAAAUUAAUUAUCGUGUCGAAAUUGAAAUUAAAAUAAAAAUUAAUAUUAAAAUUAAACUGAAAUAAAAAUAUGUGAAAGUGUAUUGAAAUUCGAUUCUAGUUAUGAUUUAAAAAAUUUAAGAAACUGACCUUUAAUUUUGAUUUCAUAAAAAACUGUCUUGAAGUUGUUUUGAAACUGGAACUGCACACUCCAAAUCAGAAGUUUAGAGUUUGAAUUUUUAGAAUCGGAGAAAAUGAAUUUAUUAUUUUAAUAUAUAUGUCGGGUAAAUAUGAAUUAAUUAGGUAAUAUAUAUAUAUAAUCAUGCUUCAAUCCUGUAAAAUCAUGUCCAAUGUUGUGUUGGAAUAUUCUGCAGCUCACAAGCCUGGAAAUUAACCACAAUUUAUCUCACUUAGGGCUUGUCUAAAUGAUAAAUCAUAAUUUGUUUAUAUUUAAAUAAUUAUUAAAUUAAAAAGAACUAAUUUAAAUGAAAAUUAAUUUACUCAAAUUAUUUUAAAGAAUAUAUAUAAAUUAGACAUUUAUCUGCACAUAGGGUUUGUGUGGAUACUUUUAGUUUUUUAAAAUUAUUAAUAAAAUAAAUAAUAAAAAAGUAUUUAAAUAUAGAAAAAUGUUCAAAUGUAUAAAAAGAAAAAUCCAACUUUUAAAAAUAUGCAAUAAAAAAGUAUUAACUCUGAAUUUUUUUAUGAAAAUAUAUUUAAGUCAUUAUUAUUAUUAUAUUAUUUAUUUAAUGAUUAAUUUAUUAUAUAUAUUUAAAUUAUAUUGGUAAAUAAUUAUGUAUAAAUUACAGGGAUUAAAUUUUAAAUAAAAUAAAGAAAUUCUACAUAGUAUACAAACAUUCUCCCUCCAAAUAAAUAGAAGAACAAAACGACAGAGAAAAAUAAUAGUAUAAAAAAUUAUCACAGGUCGUUGUGUGAUUGAAGUUGCCGCUUCAGUGCUUUGUUAUUGGUCAUUUGCUCGUGUUCGCCAGAGCUCAGUGCUCUUGUCAGCAUCAUCAUCGCCAUCACUAGAGCUGAGAAGAUGCCCGUCGCUAGCGCGUCCACGUCCACGUCCACCUCCGAUUCACCGGACGUCCAAGCUCCUAUACUGUACGACACCGUUGAUUAUAAAGGCCUCCCCGUCAAUAAAUCUUACUCCGGUGGCUGGAAAUCCGCCUCUUUAAUAAUAGGUGAAACUUUAUCUUUUUGUUGCAUCAGAGGACUUGUUUAUGAGUUUGGUUGAUUUUGAUGUUUGUUUUUUGCGCAGGAGUGGAGGUUGCUGAGAGUUUUGCAUACUAUGGGAUUUCGUCGAACCUAAUUGCAUUUUUGACCGGGCCGCUUGGUCAGUCGACGGCUACUGCGGCGGAGAACGUCAAUGCCUGGUCAGGAACGGCGUCGUUACUUCCUUUAUUAGGUGCAUUUGUUGCCGAUUCUUUCCUUGGGAGAUAUCGCACCAUUGUUGUUGCUUCUGUUAUCUACCUCUUGGUAAAUUCCUCUGUUUUUGUUUUAUGUUACCUCCACAGACUUCUAGUCCAGUUGCUUAUUAGUGUAAACUGUGGUUAUGAAUAUAAACAAAUAUAUGGUGGGUCUUUGAAAUUUAUUUUAGCUCCCCAUUUCAAUUUCAGAUGCUUAGUUUUAUUUCCAAAAAGUAAGUGCAUAUGCGAAUUUCAUUUUUGGAUCAAGGAUUUUAAGUUUGCUAUGAUUUUAGUGAGAGAGUUUCCUAUGUGAUACUUAAUACGACUGCUUGGUGUUGAUUUUUAUGAUUUUAGUGGGAGAAAGAUUUUUUCCCCACUUUGUUGCGUACAAAUGUUUAGCAUAAUCUGUUUAUUAGUGGGUUUUUAUGGCAUUAGUUUUAAAAUAUAUGCAUUUUUUUUUUGGAAUUUGAUCACAGGGACUUGCCUUGUUGACCCUAUCAGCAAUGUUCCCUUCUCACAGUGAUUCUGAUUGCCCUAUCUCCAGUACUAUCACAUCUUGCUCUCCUCAUCCAUUUCAAGUAGUUUUAUUCUUCUCUGCUCUAUAUUUGGUAGCACUUGGGCACGGUGGGCAUAAACCUUGUGUUCAGGCUUUUGGGGCAGAUCAAUUUGAUGGACAAGACCCUGAGGAGUGCAAAGCCAAAAGCUCAUUCUUCAAUUGGUGGUAUUUCUGUAUGAGUUUGGGCAUUUUAGUAACAAUAUUAACCUUAAUCUACAUCCAGGACAAC
RNAcentral lists this long non-coding RNA (6412 nucleotides) under Manihot esculenta (cassava). Its description in RNAcentral is "long non-coding RNA (MESC_LNC010707)". The record is from RNAcentral. Lineage: Eukaryota; Viridiplantae; Streptophyta; Magnoliopsida; Malpighiales; Euphorbiaceae.